GACGAACGCUGGCGGCGUGCUUAACACAUGCAAGUCGAACGAUGAAGCUGGAGCUUGCUCCGGUGGAUUAGUGGCGAACGGGUGAGUAACACGUGAGCAAUCUGCCCUUGACUCUGGGAUAACUGCGGGAAACUGUAGCUAAUACCGGAUAUGAGAUCUGAAGGCAUCUUCGGGUUUGGAAAGAAUUUCGGUCAAGGAUGAGCUCGCGGCCUAUCAGCUAGUUGGUGAGGUAAUGGCUCACCAAGGCGACGACGGGUAGCCGGCAUGAGAGGGUCCCCGGCCACCCUGGAAAUGAGACAAGGUCCAGACUCCUACGGGAGGCAGCAGUGGGAAAUAUUGCACAAUGGGCGAAAGCCUGAUGCAGCAACGCCGCGUGAGGGAUGAAGGCCUUCGGGUUGUAAACCUCUUUUAGCAGGGAAGAAGCGAAAGUGACGGUACCUGCAGAAAAAGCACCGGCUAACUACGUGCCAGCCGCCGCCGUAA
Molecule: ribosomal RNA, 483 nt
Filed under: uncultured bacterium
Lineage: Bacteria
Description: partial 16S ribosomal RNA
Rfam family: Bacterial small subunit ribosomal RNA
Source: RNAcentral